RNAcentral lists this long non-coding RNA (828 nucleotides) under Vitis vinifera (wine grape). RNAcentral's name for it is "long non-coding RNA (VVIN_LNC004774)". The record is from RNAcentral. Lineage: Eukaryota; Viridiplantae; Streptophyta; Magnoliopsida; Vitales; Vitaceae.
AAUCUCCUGCUCAUCUCCUAACAGGGUUUCCACCUCGUGGUGCUGCCUCAUACCCACCUCCUGAACGUGCAGGUGGUGUUGCAGACCCAUAAGGAACAUUAUUUCCGGAUGGCACCUGUCCAUGGGGGCCAGGGGCAGCUCUGGUAGGUGCAUCAUAGUUAGUGCCCCUGGGUGCAUCAUAAACCGGUCCUCUCUGCCCAUCAUAAGCUGGCCCUCUCUGUGCAUCAUAACCAGGUCCCUUUUGAGCAUCAUAACCAGGCCCUCUCUGUGGAUCAUAACCAGGUCCUCUUGGUGCAUCAUAGCCAGGUCCUCUAGGUGCAUCAUAGCCGGGUCCUCUAGGUCCAUCAUAACCAGGUCUGCUAGCAGCAGGGCCAGAUUGAGGUCCAGCAUAAGCAGGAGUACCACCACCACCACCACCACCACCUGCAGCAGCAACACCACCACCUGUGGCACCAGGGAGGGGGGCACGUCCCUGUCAUACAAAGCAAGCGCAUUAUCAGUCUUCACCUUCACCAUCUGAAUAAUGGUCCAUAAGGAAUCAGAGGGAAAAGCAUCGCCUCAUAAACAAUCAGAAUUAACUCCUAGUGAGUUCUCCCCCAGCCAGAUUCAAACAAUUCAAUUAACCUCUUAUUUUUCAGCAGAAUUUCACCUUUUAUUUGAAACUGUUGAGCCUCAUUACCCAGAUUGGGACUCAGAAUACAUCCACAUUCAAUGCAAUAAGCACUUCAAUCCUUAAAUAAUCUGCAUUAGCAGCUUGGCUUUCAAGGGAAGCAAGGUCCCACAUGCCCAUACCAACUAAAUAUUAAUAUUUAAGUUUAUCUGGCUUGU